RNAcentral lists this long non-coding RNA (678 nucleotides) under Solanum tuberosum (potato). RNAcentral describes it as "long non-coding RNA (STUB_LNC000622)". The record is from RNAcentral. Lineage: Eukaryota; Viridiplantae; Streptophyta; Magnoliopsida; Solanales; Solanaceae.
CCGGGUACCUGUAAAGACACUUAGUAAAAGUGUUAGUUAUAAAUAAAUAUGAAUAAAAAUAAAUGAAUCAAAUAUUAAUUAAAAAAUAAAAAUACCGUCUUAUUAACAUGGGAGACCUUGGAAAUCGACGGUAAUUUCUUCAUCGGCCAAUUUCAACUUGUAACAAAUAUGAACUUAAACUAAAUUUUCGCCUUUUAAAAUAGGGAGGCCUCGAAAACCGACGGAGAGAUUUUUUCAUUGGCCAUUUUUAACAAAUAAAAUAUAUAAACUUAAACUAAAUUUUCGUCUUUAAAAAUGGGAAGGCCUCCAAAAUUGACGGAGAGAUUUUCUCAUUGGCCAUUUUAACAAAUAAAAUAUAUAAACUUGAACUAAAAUUCCGUCUUUUAAAAUAGGGAGGCCUCCAAAAUCGACGGAGAGAUUUUCUCAUUGGCCAUUUUAAACAAAUGAUGUAUAUGAUGCGAUAGAUAUAAUAUUUGGUAAAGAUAUAAAUCAGAGAGACAUUAAGAACGAAGCAUAUGAUUGGAAAACUCAAACAAAUUGCUAAAAAUCAUUAGUCCACAAAUAAUGAUAAGAACAAAAAUAAAUAACAAAUAAAAGAGGUAAACAAUGUAUUUAGUUAAACAAACGAAUAUAACAAUUAAUAAUAACAUUAAUCAACAACAAUAAAAAGUGUAUAAU